This 1408-nucleotide small RNA is filed under the name Pongo abelii (Sumatran orangutan). Its description in RNAcentral is "retained intron". The record is from RNAcentral. Lineage: Eukaryota; Metazoa; Chordata; Mammalia; Primates; Hominidae.
GUUUCCACUCACACGGUAGGCGGCUGUGUGAUUUCAUCUGGAGUCCCCAGGCCCCUCCUCAUCCUUCCCAGGGUUGCUCUGAGGCCAUCCCUCGUCAUCUAGGAGGGGUCCAUGUAAAAGCAUUUAUAAACAGCUCCAAAUGGGAGCCUGGCGCGCCCACCUUUGGAGCACUUUUUUCUACUGCAGAUUUAUCUACUGCUAGUUAAAUCUCUGGAUUUAACUCUGAUGAAAGACCUGAGGCUGAAGGGGAACUUCAAUGUCAUAUAUUUUAAAGGUUGACUCACAGUUUGGAGCAAGAAUUAAAGAACCACGAACAUCAAGGUAAAACGGGCAACGGCAGUGGGGCAAGCCUCUCUGCAGCCAGCGUGUCCAACCUCUCCUGCGUGCCAGAAGUCCCCAGGCAGGAGUGUGGUGGGACGUCCGGCUGGGGUAAGGACAGGCACUCUCCCACUGUGUCAGGGCCCAGAGAGUGGGUGGAGAAGCUCUGCAAGGGACCUGUGCAAGGGCACCUUGUAGGAGCCUGCAGUCCCCACAAGGGUGUUUGUGGAUAACAGUUGGGGAGCCCUGGUCUUUUGGGGUCAUGGAGGGCUUGGCCUCUCACCUCAGAGCUGCAGAGGAACCGCUUCUACAUCAGGACAUCAGAAGCGAGAAUGGGAUGGCUGGCGAGGGGCCUCUUGUUGAGGUCACAGAGAUGAGUCCCUGAGAUGGCCCGUGUGGAAGGCUGGAUUCUCACUCCACCUCUGCCCCUAUACGUCCUGGUGACCCUGCCCUCUGUAGUCUUGGUUUUUUGCAAAACAGUUAUGACCUCCUGUCAUACUGGGUACUUUGCUUAUGUAUUGUGUUUACUCUUUACUGUGUGUCUCUCCUUCUAAGGUCUACAAAGAAGGGUCUUUGUGGGUGGGGUUCUCAGAGGCAUCCCAAGUACCAGAAGCAGUCCCUGGACUAAGGGGCUCAAUAAAUAUUUUUUAUUUAUUAUUUUUCUUUUUGAGACGGAGUCUCGCUCUCUUGCCCAGGCUGGAGUUCAGUGGCACAAUCUCGGCUCACUGCAACCUUCACCUCCUAGGUUCAAGUGAUUUCCAGCCAAUUUUUGUAUUUUUAGUAGAGACGGGGUUUCACCAUGUUGGCCAGGCUGAUCACGAACUCCUGACCUCAAGUGAUCCACCCGCCUCAGCCUCCCAAGGUGCUGGGAUUAUAGACAUGAGCCACCAUGCCCGGCCAAAUAUUUGUCAAAUUGAGUUUGUAUUUCCACACAAAUUUUAGGCUGGAUGAAGUGGCUCAUGCCUGUAAUCCAAGCACUUUGACAGGCUGAGGCGGGCGGAUGGCUUGAGCCCAGGAGUCUGAGACCAGCCUGGAAAACAUAGAGAAACCCUGUCUCAAUAUAAGAAGAAGAAGAAAAAGAAAAAAAAAA